This 838-nucleotide long non-coding RNA is filed under the name Trifolium pratense (red clover). Its description in RNAcentral is "long non-coding RNA (TPRA_LNC000368)". Lineage: Eukaryota; Viridiplantae; Streptophyta; Magnoliopsida; Fabales; Fabaceae. The record is from RNAcentral.
GACCUAAAGCGCAAAAAUUAAGAAACUCUUUUAGAAGGAUACAAAAAUUACGAACCACAUUGUGGAUACUUGUGUCGAAUAAAAAUUAUAAAUCUCUCUAUAUAUAUAGGUUGACAUAUGAUGCAGAGAUCAAGAAUCUUUCUAUUAAAAGAAAUUCUAUAAGUGGCGCGCAGAGAUCGUAAAUGUCUAUAUUGUAAGCACAAAAAAAUUACGAACCAUUGUGGAUACUUGUGGCGCGAAAACUAAAAAACAUAUUCGCGACGCGCAGAAAUUACAAAUCUUUGUAUCAAGAACGCAUAAAAAUUACGAAUCUAUGCGAAUGCUAAAAUAUUGUAGUAUCAUGAAACUCUAUAUGGCGCAAAGAUUAAGAAAGAUUCUAUUAGAGGCUGACCUAAAGCGCAAAAAUUAAGAACCUCUAGCAGCGCGCAUAAAUUAUAAACCUCACUAUUAGAAGGAUACAAAAUUAUCACAAAAAAAGGAUACAAAAAUUGCGAAUCUAUAUCGAUACUCGGAGGGAUCCCUUAACCAUGGCUCCUUGAUCCUUGUAGCUCAUAUGCUCCUUGAUCAAGGAACACCAUUUAUAUAUCAAUCAUGAAUGUUGUAGAUCAUGGUAAAUAAAAAUAUUUGUGUCAAAAUAUCAUUCCUCUUGUUGAUUACUGAUUUCUGUCGCAGAAUCUAAUUGUCCACCUUUAUCUGGGAUCACGUUCUUGUGCAGUCAAAACUUUCUCGUAUUUAUAUAGUCGGUUAUAUGCAGCCGCUCGAUUAAGAUCAAACAGUUUAAAACCACCUACGGGUUUGGAGGAAUUAAACGGAAUUAAACGGGCUAAGUAGUUAUUUG